AGGACGAACGCUGGCGGCGUGCCUCAUACAUGCAAGUGGAGCGACGAACCAGGAUUUAUCCUGGGGCAAAGCCGCGAACGGGUGAGUAACACGUGGGUUACCUGCCCCGAUGAUUGGGACAACCCGAGGAAACUCGGGCUAAUACCAAAUGUGUUCUUGGUCGUGAUGACCAAGAAGAAAGGAAGCCUCGGCCUCCGCAUCGGGAUGGGCCCGCGGCCCAUUAGCUAGUUGGUGGGGUAAUGGCCUACCAAGGCGACGAUGGGUAGCUGGUCUGAGAGGACGAUCAGCCACACUGGGACUGAGACACGGCCCAGACUCCUACGGGAGGCAGCAGUGGGGAAUCUUGCGCAAUGGGCGGAAGCCUGACGCAGCGACGCCGCGUGGGGGAUGAAGGCCUUCGGGUUGUAAACCCCUUUCAGCAGGGACGAAGCGAAAGUGACGGUACCUGCAGAAGAAGCGCCGGCUAACUACGUGCCAGCAGCCGC
This 485-nucleotide ribosomal RNA is filed under the name uncultured bacterium. RNAcentral describes it as "SSU rRNA". It matches the Rfam family "Bacterial small subunit ribosomal RNA", at positions 26 to 518 of the family's 1533-position model. The record is from RNAcentral.